Molecule: ribosomal RNA, 303 nt
Filed under: Triticum aestivum (bread wheat)
Lineage: Eukaryota; Viridiplantae; Streptophyta; Magnoliopsida; Poales; Poaceae
Description: partial small subunit ribosomal RNA
Source: RNAcentral
AUGGAAUUCUAUAGUUUGCAUGAAUCCCUUCAUCAGGAAGUCGCCAAAUAUUUUUCUAGGUUUUUCUGGGUGGGACCAGACAAUAGACAAAAAUAUCACAUGGUGAAGUGGUCCGAGAUUUGCAAGCCUAAGGACCAAGGCGGUUUGGAAGUCAUCUCGUCCAAGCGGAUGAACAUAGCCUUGCUCUCCAAAUGGCUAUGGCGCAUUGAGGCAGGAGAUGGGGGGCUAUGGCUCCAGAUUAUCCGCGCAAAGUACUUGCAUGGACAACCCCUUGCCUUCUCCCCCCGAACAGGUGGUUCCUAG